AUGUUUUUCCUCCAAAACCACUUUCAAUCUAUUUGUAUAGCAGACCCUCAUGCCAAAUUGAGUCAAAAGCUUUUUCGAAAUCAACAAAGCAGGAGAAGACUUUUGGCUUUUUUUCUAGUCUCUCUCUCUUCUAUUCUCUCUCUCUUCUAUUCCCUCUCUCUCUCUUCUAUUCCCUCUCUCUUCUAUUCACUCUCUCUCUCUCUCCUAUUCCAUCUCUCUCUCUCUUCUAUUCCCCCUCUCUCUCCUAUUCCAUCUCCCUCUCUCUCUUCUAUUCCCUCUCUCUCCUAUUCCAUCUCUCUCUCUCUUCUAUUCCCUCUCUCUCCUAUUCCAUCUCCCUCUCUCUCUUCUAUUCCCUCUCUCUCCUAUUCCAUCUCCCUCUCUCUCUUCUAUUCCCUCUCUCUCCUAUUCCAUCUCUCUCUCUCUUCUAUUCCCUCUCUCUCCUAUUCCAUCUCUCUCUCUCUUCUAUUCCCUCUCUCUCCUAUUCCAUCUCUCUCUCUCUUCUAUUCCCUCUCUCUCCUAUUCCAUCUCUCUCUCUCUUCUAUUCCCUCUCUCCUAUUCCAUCUCUCUCUCUCUUAUAUUCCCUCUCUCUCCUAUUCCAUCUCCCUCUCUCUCUUCUAUUCCCUCUCUCUCCUAUUCCAUCUCUCUCUCUCUUCUAUUCCCUCUCUCUCCUAUUCCAUCUCUCUCUCUCUUCUAUUCCCUCUCUCUCCUAUUCCAUCUCCCUCUCUCUUCUAUUCCCUCUCUCUCCUAUUCCAUCUCUCUCUCUCUUCUAUUCCCUCUCUCUCCUAUUCCAUCUCUCUCUCUCUUCUAUUCCCUCUCUCUCCUAUUCCAUCUCUCUCUCUUCUAUUCCCUCUCUCUCCUAUUCCAUCUCCCUCUCUCUUAUAUUCCCUCUCUCUCCUAUUCCAUCUCUCUCUCUCUUCUAUUCCCUCUCUCUCCUAUUCCAUCUCUCUCUCUCUUCUAUUCCCUCUCUCUCCUAUUCCAUCUCUCUCUCUCUUCUAUUCCCUCUCUCUCCUAUUCCAUCUCCCUCUCUCUCUUCUAUUCCCUCUCUCUCCUAUUCCAUCUCCCUCUCUCUCUUCUAUUCCCCCUCUCUCCUAUUCCAUCUCUCUCUCUCUUCUAUUCCCUCUCUCUCCUAUUCCAUCUCUCUCUCUCUUCUAUUCCCUCUCUCUCCUAUUCCAUCUCCCUCUCUCUUCUAUUCCCUCUCUCUCCUAUUCCAUCUCUCUCUCUCUUCUAUUCCCUCUCUCUCCUAUUCCAUCUCUCUCUCUCUUCUAUUCCCUCUCUCUCCUAUUCCAUCUCUCUCUCUCUUCUAUUCCCUCUCUCUCCUAUUCCAUCUCUCUCUCUCUUCUAUUCCCUCUCUCUCCUAUUCCAUCUCCCUCUCUCUCUUCUAUUCCCUCUCUCUCCUAUUCCAUCUCUCUCCUCUAUUUCCCCUCUCUCUUUUCUAUUCCCUCUCUCUCUUUAUUAUUCCCUCUCUCUCUUCUAUUCUCUCUCUCUCUCACUUUUCUAUUCUAUUCCCUCUCUCUCUCUUUUCUAUUCUCUCUCUCUUCUCUCCCUUGGUCUUUCUUUCCCCUUGUCCCCUUUCUUUCUUUUUCUCUUUCUUUGUCUGACCUGUGUGUGUUUUGGAUCAGGCCUGUGUUUGUGUGUUCUAGUUCUGACCUGUGUGUGUUUUGGAUCAGGCCUGUGUUUGUGUGUUCUAGUUCUGACCUGUGUGUGUUUUGGAUCAGGCCUGUGUUUGUGUGUUCUAGUUCUGACCUGUGUGUGUUUUGGAUCAGGCCUGUGUUUGUGUGUUCUAGUUCUAACGUGUGUGUGUGUGUGUGUUCACAGGGAGAAGCUGUGUGUGGGGGGGACCCAGUUGGCAGAGCUUAA
RNAcentral lists this long non-coding RNA (1857 nucleotides) under Oncorhynchus mykiss (rainbow trout). RNAcentral describes it as "lncRNA (ENSOMYG00000067679.1)". Lineage: Eukaryota; Metazoa; Chordata; Actinopteri; Salmoniformes; Salmonidae. The record is from RNAcentral.